ACUCCUACGGGAGGCAGCAGUGGGGAAUAUUGCACAAUGGGCGCAAGCCUGAUGCAGCCAUGCCGCGUGUAUGAAGAAGGCCUUCGGGUUGUAAAGUACUUUCAGCAGUGAGGAAGGCGGGUACGUUAAUAGCGUGCUCGUUUGACGUUAGCUGCAGAAGAAGCACCGGCUAACUCCGUGCCAGCAGCCGCGGUAAUACGGAGGGUGCGAGCGUUAAUCGGAAUUACUGGGCGUAAAGGGCUCGUAGGUGGUUGAUCGCGUCGGAAGUGUAAUCUUGGGGCUUAACCCUGAGCGUGCUUUCGAUACGGGUUGACUUGAGGAAGGUAGGGGAGAAUGGAAUUCCUGGUGGAGCGGUGGAAUGCGCAGAUAUCAGGAGGAACACCAGUGGCGAAGGCGGUUCUCUGGGCCUUUCCUGACGCUGAGGAGCGAAAGCGUGGGGAGCGAACAGGCUUAGAUACCCUGGUAGCUA
This 469-nucleotide ribosomal RNA is filed under the name uncultured bacterium. Its description in RNAcentral is "bacterial SSU rRNA". It matches the Rfam family "Bacterial small subunit ribosomal RNA", at positions 335 to 796 of the family's 1533-position model. The record is from RNAcentral.